This 1467-nucleotide ribosomal RNA is filed under the name Salmonella enterica subsp. enterica. RNAcentral describes it as "bacterial LSU rRNA". It matches the Rfam family "Bacterial large subunit ribosomal RNA", at positions 1 to 1397 of the family's 2925-position model. RNAcentral also lists the same sequence under 1 other name. The record is from RNAcentral. Lineage: Bacteria; Pseudomonadati; Pseudomonadota; Gammaproteobacteria; Enterobacterales; Enterobacteriaceae.
GGGUUGUGAGGUUAAGCGACUAAGCGUACACGGUGGAUGCCCUGGCAGUCAGAGGCGAUGAAGGACGUGCUAAUCUGCGAUAAGCGCCGGUAAGGUGAUAUGAACCGUUAUAACCGGCGAUUUCCGAAUGGGGAAACCCAGUGUGACUCGUCACACUAUCAUUAACUGAAUCCAUAGGUUAAUGAGGCGAACCGGGGGAACUGAAACAUCUAAGUACCCCGAGGAAAAGAAAUCAACCGAGAUUCCCCCAGUAGCGGCGAGCGAACGGGGAGGAGCCCAGAGCCUGAAUCAGCAUGUGUGUUAGUGGAAGCGUCUGGAAAGGCGCGCGAUACAGGGUGACAGCCCCGUACACAAAAGCGCAUGUGCUGUGAGCUCGAUGAGUAGGGCGGGACACGUGGUAUCCUGUCUGAAUAUGGGGGGACCAUCCUCCAAGGCUAAAUACUCCUGACUGACCGAUAGUGAACCAGUACCGUGAGGGAAAGGCGAAAAGAACCCCGGCGAGGGGAGUGAAAAAGAACCUGAAACCGUGUACGUACAAGCAGUGGGAGCCCCACCACUAAGCCAGUGGUGAACUCCACAUACGCAUCCUUUGCUGAGGAUACGGUUAACGGAGCGAAAGCGACGUUCAACCGCAAAAGAAGCAGAGGGGGCUUAGUGGUGGGGUGACUGCGUACCUUUUGUAUAAUGGGUCAGCGACUUAUAUUCUGUAGCAAGGUUAACCGAAUAGGGGAGCCGGAGGGAAACCGAGUCUUAAUUGGGCGUUAAGUUGCAGGGUAUAGACCCGAAACCCGGUGAUCUAGCCAUGGGCAGGUUGAAGGUUGGGUAACACUAACUGGAGGACCGAACCGACUAAUGUUGAAAAAUUAGCGGAUGACCUGUGGCUGGGGGUGAAAGGCCAAUCAAACCGGGAGAUAGCUGGUUCUCCCCGAAAGCUAUUUAGGUAGCGCCUCGUGAAUUCAUCUCCGGGGGUAGAGCACUGUUUCGGCUAGGGGGCCAUCCCGGCUUACCAACCCGAUGCAAACUGCGAAUACCGGAGAAUGUUAUCACGGGAGACACACGGCGGGUGCUAACGUCCGUCGUGAAGAGGGAAACAACCCAGACCGCCAGCUAAGGUCCCAAAGUCAUGGUUAAGUGGGAAACGAUGUGGGAAGGCCCAGACAGCCAGGAUGUUGGCUUAGAAGCAGCCAUCAUUUAAAGAAAGCGUAAUAGCUCACUGGUCGAGUCGGCCUGCGCGGAAGAUGUAACGGGGCUAAACCAUGCACCGAAGCUGCGGCAGCGACACUCAGGUGUUGUUGGGUAGGGGAGCGUUCUGUAAGCCUGUGAAGGUGUGUCGUGAGGCAUGCUGGAGGUAUCAGAAGUGCGAAUGCUGACAUAAGUAACGAUAAAGCGGGUGAAAAGCCCGCUCGCCGGAAGACCAAGGGUUCCUGUCCAACGUUAAUCGGGGCAGGGUGAGUCGACCCCUAAGGC